AUGGUUGUCGUCAGCUCGUGUCGUGAGAUGUUUGGGUUAAGUCCCGCAACGAGCGCAACCCUCGACCUUUAGUUGCCAGCAUUCAGUUGGGCACUCUAAGGUGACUGCCGGCUAAAAGUCGGAGGAAGUGGGGAUGACGUCAAAUCAUCAUGCCCCUUAUGACCUGGGCUACACACGUGCUACAAUGGGCGGUACAAAGGGUCGCGAACCCGCGAGGGGGAGCCAAUCCCAAAAAGCCGCUCUCAGUUCGGAUUGCAGGCUGCAACUCGCCUGCAUGAAGCCGGAAUCGCUAGUAAUCGCGGAUCAGCAUGCCGCGGUGAAUACGUUCCCGGGCCUU
Molecule: ribosomal RNA, 337 nt
Filed under: uncultured Anoxybacillus sp.
Lineage: Bacteria; Bacillati; Bacillota; Bacilli; Caryophanales; Anoxybacillaceae
Description: bacterial SSU rRNA
Rfam family: Bacterial small subunit ribosomal RNA
Source: RNAcentral